Long non-coding RNA from Cygnus atratus (black swan), 1736 nucleotides. RefSeq lists it as uncharacterized. The transcript is spliced from 3 exons. The record is from RefSeq and is a predicted model, not a curated record. Lineage: Eukaryota; Metazoa; Chordata; Aves; Anseriformes; Anatidae.
ACAGACCACAUGCAGAUAUGCAUUCACAGCAGCAUGGUUGGAGCUACAGCUGGGAUACCCAGAAGUAGAGGAUCAGACCAACAUUAGACCAACGGCUUGCAAGUAACUCAUUUUGAAAUGAAAGGGAGCAGCAGAGUAGCAGCGUGGGAUAAAUUGCAAAGAAAAUACAUACGAGGUGCCUUCUUGGAAAUCCCAGCCCCUUCAAAAGAAGAUUGCUUCUGAAAUAUCAGAGAAAAAAAAUACAACUAUUGUGAAGUCAUUCAAGACAGCAAAACUCUGACUAGCAAGUCAGAUCCAGAUCCUUUAUUUUGUAAUUUGGUUACUGUGAUUUAUUAUGUGUUCUGUUACCAGUGCUUUUCUCUAUAUACUUUUUCAGUGAAGUAAAUUCAACAAAAUAUACCAUCUCAUGGCAAUAAGAGAACUGAUACAGAAAAUAAUUUGUAGUGUAGUAUUGAUAAAUGCUUGGCACAGUAAUAGGAAUAUGUCAUCAGUCACCUGUGUUCAUGUUUGAUAGCAUUAUAUCAGCUAAUUCAGGAUGAAUGUCCUUUGCUUUAACCUUGGUUGUGUUUGCAACUUACUCUAGAGGAAAGUACUAAUCCUUCAUUAACUAGUAGGUGUGAAACCUUCUCUGUCAAGAGGGUUGAGGAGUGGGCAGAUUAAAAUCGGUUUUAGAAUGUGGCCUGGUCAAAAUCAAGUCUUUUUAUGCAGUCUUGUAAACUGCAUAAAUUAUUAGUAAACAUUUUUGAAGGGUAAAUGAAUAAAUCUUUGUAUUUUGCAGGUUUGCUCUUUUUGUCUUUGGAGCAUUCAAAAUGUACAUAUAAAAAAUUCCAAGGACACAUCAGAUCUUUGAUCUUGCUACACCUUUAAUUUUUAAGAGCCUACAUAAUGUUGUGCUUUACAUUAUGCAUUAAGAUAUUUGUAAUUAGGAACUUGUGGUAAUGACCCAUUCUCAAACAAAGUAGUUCUGUUUCUUUUUUUCCCAUUAACUGCAUUGAGAGUUUAUUUGUUGAGAAUUAGGUUUAAUUCUAUUAGCAGGAAUUGUGAGACUUUUGCAAGACAAGGUAUAUUAGCAUAGUACUUUGCUUGUAAUGAGAGCCAAAAAGCAUUUAGGGAAAGAGGUAAUUAUUGGAGAAUUUCCUUCUUUUAAUAAGAAAAAUCUAGCUAAAUUUCAGUACUCUGCUCUAAAAGUCCCUUAAGCUUUAAUUAAUGGCUAAAAGAAAAAUAAACUGGAUCACAAAAAUUCUGUAGAUGUUUUCUGAGAGUUACUGCUGAGUAAAAUCCACUAAUUUAAUAGAGUUCAUUUAAUUUGAAAAUUUGGCAACAUCAGCUGUUUUUUUUUUCCCAAAAGUUUUCUGCUUUUUAAACUGAUAGCAGUAUACUCUUAAUACAGAGGAAAGAUAUUAAUUGCUUUCAGCAAGGACCACCAUUCCCCCGCACAUACCGCCCACAUUUUUACCAGAAUUAGGUUGAUGUGUUCUGUAAUAAAAAUGUGCUGUAUACUGACCUGACCGGAAGGUCUCAUAAUGCCCAUCUUCAAAAUCCUGCGAAGGCAGUCCUAGUUUUAUAAACUUACUGUAAAGGCUUUUAUUGGUUUUAAAUAUCUAGCAGGUUUUUUUUUUUGGUUCAGUUUGUCUGGUAACUUUCUGCACAAGUGCCUGUUCCACUUGUUAUAUUGGAGUAGUGUGUCUAAUAGUAGUGGGAUAACCCAUAUAAUAUAACCAGAUAACUGUCCCCAC